RNAcentral lists this ribosomal RNA (1113 nucleotides) under Dipteromimus tipuliformis. Its description in RNAcentral is "partial 16S ribosomal RNA". Lineage: Eukaryota; Metazoa; Arthropoda; Insecta; Ephemeroptera; Dipteromimidae. The record is from RNAcentral.
GGUAAUUUAGUCUUAUACUCACUAUUAAUGGAUCAUAAAUCUAUUCAUCAAUAUUACUAAUCAAGAAGAGUUUAUUUUAUCUCCCCGUCACCCCAACCAAACAAUUUUAAGUAAAACCCAACUCUACCCUAAAUAGAUUUAUUACCCAUAAUUGUUAAACUCUAUAGGGUCUUCUCGUCCUCCAAUCUUAUUUAAGCCUUUUGACUAAAAAGUUAAAUUAUACCACAAUCUCCGUGAGACAGUAAACACCUCGUCCAACCAUUCAUACCAGCCCCUAAUUAAGAGACUAAUGAUUAUGCUACCUUUGCACGGUCAAAAUACCGCGGCCCUUCAAUUUUCAGCGGGCAGGCUAGACCUCCUACAUUUACAAGAAGCGAUGUUUUUGAUAAACAGGCGAGCAUCCAUUUGCCGAAUUCCUUACAAAGACCUUUCUAUAUUAUUUAACUAUUACAUUUCACUAUAUUAAUUUCACCAUUAUUACCCAUUGUCUUCUAUUACCAAUGACACUUUGAUACAUAAACUAAACCCAUUAAAAUUAAACCACCCCUAAGUAAACUAUAACGUUAUUAUUUGAUGACUGAUUUCAAGUCUACCCCCUUAAGUAACUGAGCCUGUUAUAGUUGUGUCCUUAAGCUUAUCCCUCAAGACAUUAGCAAUUAACCCCUAAAUCAAUUAUCACUAAUCAAAAUAACACUAUUGCCUAAAUUAAAUUCAUUUCUCAAAGAACUAGAAACCUAUAAAUUCGCCUAACAUUUCAUUUCUAAAGAAGUAUUUUUAAGAAAUUUGCCAUUUUAACUAAAUUACCUCUUUAGCCCACUUAAAAUCGAGAAAACAAAAUCUUUCGCUCCAUUUAAUAAACCCUGAUACACAAGGUACAACACUAAAUCUACUUUUCAUUAAAUUACUUUUCACUUAUUUCACCCUUCCUUCUCAGUACUACCCUUAUUACUUAUUUUAUGAUUUCAUUACCCAAUACUCCCACUAAUCUCUUAAUAUUGAUUUACCCAGUCAAUUUAAAUUCACUAACCCUAUUAAUUAUGUUACCUCUCAAAAUAAAUUGAAUUGCACAAUAACUUCUCAAUGUAAAUGAAAUGCUUUACUCCUCAAGCUCUA